UCAAACUGACCGUGAAGCAGCUUUCGCCGCCCAGUGGAGCGGAUGGAAAUUUACACUCGUUUCUAGUUUUAGUCGAAGACGAGCUCUGAGAUUUAAACUUCAUUUAUUUUACAGCAAAAACUAUGAUUUUGUCAUGGUCUCGGUCAGCAGAGUAACAUGAUUCUACCAGUUUAGAUAAACGAACCAGAUCAGCUCUCAACUGAUGGGAGAUCAGAUUCACCAUCUCCCCCUGAGAAGCAUCUGGACAGUGAGUUUGAGCAGGAAGCUCUUAGUAAGGAUGAUGAAGAGGAUGUGAAGCUCCGAGUCUCUAUCUGAAGUUCUGGAUGAUCAAGAGGUUAUAGCUGGAGGAGUGAGACUUUGGCUUCUACAGACCUACAGAGACAGAUAUCACAUUUUAAUCCAUGUUAAACCAUGGACUGAUUGAUCACAGAUCAUGUAUUGGUUAUUUUGAUAAAUGAUCAUUAAAAUAAAAAUGACUGUUAACAUCUGUAAUCUAUGAACUGCUGACUGAUAAAACAACGUAACAUUAAUAUUGUGUCUAAUGGAAGCUUUUUUACUGAUUAACAGGCACAUGCAUGAGAUCAGAUCCCUCUUGUGGACAAUAAGUGUGUGCAUUAAUACAUUAAAACAGCAGCGGGAGGAAAAGGCAGUUAUGUCUAAUCCUGCUCCUGGUGAGCCAACUUUCCUGAGUUUAGCUCCAACCUGAUUAAAAACACCUGAAACAGCUAAUCAAGAUCUUUAGGAUUACUAGAAAUUUACAGGCAGGUUUAUUGGGUUCUAUGUUUCUAAUUCAUAUAAAACUUGAUUUCAAUAAACAAAUGAUGUUGUUUACAAGAUGUGUUUGUGUUAUC
This is a long non-coding RNA of Sinocyclocheilus anshuiensis, 851 nucleotides long. RefSeq lists it as uncharacterized. Lineage: Eukaryota; Metazoa; Chordata; Actinopteri; Cypriniformes; Cyprinidae. The transcript is spliced from 3 exons. The record is from RefSeq and is a predicted model, not a curated record.